Molecule: ribosomal RNA, 808 nt
Filed under: Pholidoscelis chrysolaemus ficta
Lineage: Eukaryota; Metazoa; Chordata; Lepidosauria; Squamata; Teiidae
Description: partial 16S ribosomal RNA
Rfam family: Bacterial large subunit ribosomal RNA (bases 325-545)
Source: RNAcentral
UCAAUGAGGGCACAGCUUCAUUGACACAGGAAACAACCUUCAAUAGUGACAAACUUGUAUCACCCCCCCCGUAGGCCUUUAAGCAGCCAACAAAAACAAAAUGCGUUACAGCAAUAAUUACACCCAAUCCCAAAAUACUCACACAAACCUCCUACUAAACAUCGGACAAAUCUAUUCACAUAGAAACACUCAUGUUAAAACUAGUAAUAAGAACAACUCUCUUCGCACAAGCUAACACCAACAGACAGCACCAUCUGAACCCAACUACUACACAAGAAAACCAAACCCACCAAUACUGUUAACCCAACCCAGGAGUGCACAAAGAAGAUUAAAAGUUACAAAAGGAACUCGGCAACCUAGGUCCCAACUGUUUACCAAAAACAUAGCCUUUAGCUCAACAAGUAUUAAAGGUGAUGCCUGCCCAGUGAUAUUUUCAACGGCCGCGGGAUCCUACACCGUGCAAAGGUAGCAUAAUCACUUGUCAUCUAAAUAAUGACUAGUAUGAAUGGCCCAAUGAGGACCUUACUGUCUCUUGUAACCAAUCUAUGAAACUGAUCUUCCAGUUCAAAAGCUGGAAUAAACGCACAAGACGAAAAGACCCUGUGGAACUUUUAAGUGCCAGUCAAUAAAAUGACACAACCACUUUUAGUUGGGGCAACUUUGGAACAAAACAAAACUUCCAAUCACGGGAAACAACUUAAAGCUAGGCUUACACACCAACCUUUAUUACCCGAUAUCGACCCAGUACUACUGAUAAAAGAACCAAGCUACCCCAGGGAUAACAGCGCCAUCCCCUCUUAGAGUCCCA